GGUGGCCCAAUUCUACAUGGA
RNAcentral lists this non-coding RNA (21 nucleotides) under Arabidopsis thaliana (thale cress). The record is from RNAcentral. Lineage: Eukaryota; Viridiplantae; Streptophyta; Magnoliopsida; Brassicales; Brassicaceae.